GAAAGGUAUGCUAAUACGGGAUAAUAUAUUUGAGAGGCAUCUCUUAAAUAUCAAAGGUGAGCCAGUACAGGAUGGACCCGCGUCUGAUUAGCUAGUUGGUAAGGUAACGGCUUACCAAGGCGACGAUCAGUAGCCGACCUGAGAGGGUGAUCGGCCACAUCGGAACUGAGACACGGUCCAAACUCCUACGAGAGGCAGCAGUGGGGAAUAUUGCACAAUGGGCGAAAGCCUGAUGCAGCAACGCCGCGUGAGUGAUGAAGGCCUUCGGGUCGUAAAACUCUGUCCUCAAGGAAGAUAAUGACGGUACUUGAGGAGGAAGCCCCGGCUAACUACGUGCCAGCAGCCGCGGUAAUACGUAGGGGGCUAGCGUUAUCCGGAUUUACUGGGCGUAAAGGGUGCGUAGGCGGUCUUUCAAGUCAGGAGUGAAAGGCUACGGCUCAACCGUAGUAAGCUCUUGAAACUGGGAGACUUGAGUGCAGGAGAGGAGAGUGGAAUUCCUAGUGUAGCGGUGAAAUGCGUAGAUAUUAGGAGGAACACCAGUUGCGAAGGCGGCUCUCUGGACUGUAACUGGCGCUGAGGCACGAAAGCGUGGGGAGCAAACAGGAUUAGAUACCCUGGUAGUCC
RNAcentral lists this ribosomal RNA (624 nucleotides) under uncultured bacterium. Its description in RNAcentral is "bacterial SSU rRNA". It matches the Rfam family "Bacterial small subunit ribosomal RNA", at positions 153 to 796 of the family's 1533-position model. The record is from RNAcentral.